GCGUAGUGAGGAGGUAGAUUGGUGAUAUCAUCUCGGGUAUUAGCGGCUCUGAGUGGGCUGCCAGAGAGGAUAUUGCUGACGAAGGGUCACGGACUGUCUUCUCAUCUUUAACACGUGACGUCAAGCUUGCGUCAGGCAGUGUUGUGAUGGCGCUAAUCGACUUCCUGGAAGUGCCUGACGCGGCGCUGGAUGGGGGCACUGGACAGCUCGGAGAGCACGUCGUUUGGAAAUACAGGCUGUGAGAGAACAUGCCAAAGCCCCUCCGUGCCUUGUUGUCUCCUCGCGUGCCGAAGGGAGGUGCGCACCAGCAUGUGUUGGCGUUCUGUUCUGCUCAGCACAUUCCUGCACCCGUGACGUUUGCAGCCAGCCCCACCAAAGUUUAUAAACAUUGCAACCCGCCCUCCUUCUCUCAGCUCCGCGCAGGAAUGUAAGGCAUCUCAGCAUUAAUAACUAUAGACUCAUUGUGAACACUUGCCAGGCCACGGAGACUUGGGGCUUACCUGCGUGGGUGUGUCGGGAAGAUGGUAGGGGGUGUGUGGCG
Long non-coding RNA from Scylla paramamosain (green mud crab), 541 nucleotides. RefSeq lists it as uncharacterized. NCBI's taxonomy places the organism in Eukaryota, Metazoa, Arthropoda, Malacostraca, Decapoda, Portunidae. The record is from RefSeq and is a predicted model, not a curated record. The transcript is spliced from 3 exons.